AACGAACGCUGGCGGCAUGCCUAACACAUGCAAGUCGAACGAGACCUUCGGGUCUAGUGGCGCACGGGUGCGUAACGCGUGGGAACCUUCCCUUAGGUUCGGAAUAACUCCCCGAAAGGGGUGCUAAUACCGGAUAAUGUCUUCGGACCAAAGAUUUAUCGCCUUUGGAUGGGCCCGCGUUUGAUUAGCUAGUUGGUAGGGUAAAAGCCUACCAAGGCGACGAUCCAUAGCUGGUCUGAGAGGAUGCUCAGCCACACUGGGACUGAGACACGGCCCAGCCUCCUACGGGAGGCAGCAGUGGGGACUAUUGGACAAUGGGCGAAAGCCUGAUCCAGCACUGCCGCGUGAGUGAUGAAGGCAUUAGGGUUGUAACGCUCUUUUACCCGGGAUGCUAAUGACAGUACCGGGAGAAUAAGCCCCGGCUAACUCCGUG
Molecule: ribosomal RNA, 433 nt
Filed under: uncultured bacterium
Lineage: Bacteria
Description: partial 16S ribosomal RNA
Rfam family: Bacterial small subunit ribosomal RNA
Source: RNAcentral